Molecule: ribosomal RNA, 683 nt
Filed under: uncultured Hyphomicrobiales bacterium
Lineage: Bacteria; Pseudomonadati; Pseudomonadota; Alphaproteobacteria; Hyphomicrobiales
Description: bacterial SSU rRNA
Rfam family: Bacterial small subunit ribosomal RNA
Source: RNAcentral
GAGUUUGAUCCUGGCUCAGAAUGAACGCUGGCGGCAGGCCUAACACAUGCAAGUCGAACGGAGUUAUAUUGUAGCUUGCUAUGGUAUAACUUAGUGGCAGACGGGUGAGUAAUGUAUAGGAAUCUACCUAGUAGUAUGGAAUAAUUGUUGGAAACGGCAACUAAUACCGUAUACGCCCUACGGGGGAAAAAUUUAUUGCUAUUAGAUGAGCCUAUAUUAGAUUAGUUAGUUGGUGAGGUAAAGGCUUACCAAGACAAUGAUCUAUAGCUGAUCUGAGAGGAUGAUCAGCCACACUGGAACUGAGAUACGGUCCAGACUCCUACGGGAGGCAGCAGUGGGGAAUAUUGGACAAUAGGCGAAAGCCUGAUCCAGCCAUGCCGCAUGAGUGAAGAAGGCCUUCGGGUUGUAAAGCUCUUUUAGUGAGGAAGAUAAUGACGGUACUCACAGAAGAAGUCCUGGCUAACUCCGUGCCAGCAGCCGCGGUAAUACGGAGAGGGCUAGCGUUAUUCGGAAUCAUUGGGCGUAAAGGGCGCGUAGGCGGGUUAGUAAGUUAAAAGUGAAAUCCCAAGGCUCAACCUUGGAACUGCUUUUAAAACUGCUAGUCUAGAGAUUGAAAGAGGAUAGAGGAAUUCCUAGUGUAGAGAUGAAAUUCGUAAAUAUUAGGAGGAACACCAGUGGCGAAG